GUCUUUUUGACUUAAAUAUAAAGUAUAACCUGCCCAUUGAUAUUUUUAAAAGGCUGCGGUAUAUUGACCGUACAAAGGUAGCAUAAUCAUUAGUUUUUUAAUUGAGAACUUGUAUGAAUGGUUGAAUGAGAAAUGAACUUUUUUAAUAAAAAAAUUGAAUUUUACAUUUUAAUUAAAAGGUUGAAAUAUAUUUAAAAGACGAGAAGACCCUAUAGAGUUUUAUAAUUUAUAUUUAAUAUUAAAAAAAAUUAAUAGAUAUUUUUAUUUAAAUAAUUAUUUUGUUGGGGUGAUGAUAAAAUUUAACUAACUUUUAUUUUUUUUUACAUUAAUAUAUGGGAAAUUGAUCCACUAUUAGUGAUUAAAAGAUUAAAUUACCUUAGGGAUAACAGCGUAAUUUUUUUUUUAAGUUCAUAUUAAUAAAAAAUUUUGCGACCUCGAUGUUGGAUUAAGAUUUAAUUUUAGGUGCAGAAGUUUAAAAUUUAAGUCUGUUCGACUUUUAAAUUCUU
Molecule: ribosomal RNA, 506 nt
Filed under: Pseudolycoriella tewaipounamu
Lineage: Eukaryota; Metazoa; Arthropoda; Insecta; Diptera; Sciaridae
Description: partial large subunit ribosomal RNA
Source: RNAcentral